UCUCAUACUAAACAAAAACCUAACGUGCUUGGGGAGCAAAAGCAAGUUCUGGCACUCUCAGGGCACCCAUUAUUGCGUCAAUACCCAUUAUUGCUGUGGGAAGGGAAGUAGAAACAAACUUCUUUUCUUGGGGAAAUGGCAGGGAAGAGUUUUACACAGGGUUCUAUAUUAACAGUGUUGGAGGUCUCAGCACCAUAGGAGAAGAUGGAAAAUCUCUCCCACACAAGACUCACCACAGGUAUAAUGCAGAAAUCGGCCAUCAUCGGGAGGAGGCGUAGGAAUGAUGAGAAACCCCACCUAUGAAGCCCAGGCAUACGGGACCUAAGACACACUGGACCAGGACAGAAGAGGACUGCCUCUGUCCUCUGUCCAUCAGCCAGCAAACAGAAUCUGAAAACCAUGAAGGUUAAGUAACUUCACCAACGUGCCACACCUGCUGAGUAGUGAGUUACUCUUCAAACUCGUGAUGUCCGGCUCCAAAGCCUCAGUUUCUUCCAUUAAACCAUCGUAUUAGGAGGAGUUUAUGCCCUGGAAGAAGUUCAGUCUUAAGGUCCAUUUUCACUUACUCAAAUUAGAUGGAUUGGAGCAUUACACACAUUACAAGAAAAUUUCUGGAGAUUGGAAGUCUGAGAUCAGAUGCCAGCAUGGUUGGGUUCUGGUGACAGCUCUCAUCGUGGUUUGCAAACACCUGUCUUCAUGUUGUAGCCUCACUUCAUGGAGAGAGAGAGUUCUGGUAUAUUGUAAAAAUCUACUCACACAAAUACUAAGCAAAAAAGAUAAGGAACUUGUUAAUCAUGUGGAUUGCAGGGUUUCAUGAAAUCUAAUAAAGUGAUUUUGGAUAACUAAUACAACCAAUGCAAAGCAAUCUACAAGUGAAGACACAAGCAGAGUGAGCGUGGUUAAUGACUGAAGAAGAGAAAUGGAAAAGAAAAGAAAAAAAGAUCUUUCAAGAGAGAAUAAUUUUGAAUAUCAAACAAUGAAGAGCUUUUCAGAAUUUUGAUGAAGAAAAUCCUUGAAAAUUCUUGCAAAAAUGAUACCCCUCCCUUUUAGACUGUUCAUUCAAAAUAUAGUGCUAUCAUUUAAUUUUGCCCAAAAAAUUACCCCCAAGUUAAUACAAUUCAUUCUUUUUAAUUCUAAAAAUUAGCUUAUACUUAUAAUUACAACCAAAAAUACGACAGUUAAAUAACGCUUUUUUAUAAUUUUUCGCUGUAUAUUUCAAAUCAGCCAGUUGGACCAAUCAAGUAUUGUCAAUGUUCAUUAUAAAGUUUUCACCCCACCUUUGGAAACCUCUCUAAAGGUGACUUUUUCUGUACCAAGUGUCCUUCAACAAAGAGGAACCUCCUGGAUCUCAGUGAUUAUGAGGGACACGACCUGGCAAAGGCCUUGUGACUGUUCUGAGAUUCAGUUAUACACUUAUAAAAUCACUGUGUUCUGUUUAAUUAUACUCAUGAAGAAAUACGAACUAUAAAUAUAACUAUAAAAAUAAAUAUAAACUAUAAAUUCCCUAUAAGCUCUAAGAUUGUUAUUGCACAUUUCAAUUUCUUAUAAUGAGUAUCUUAGAUCACUUUCAGGAAACAAGAAAUGUGUCAUUUUGGAAACUUUUGCUUUGUUAAUAUAUUUUUUAAUGCUUUAAGGUUUAAAAAUCAGCUAUCUGAAAAAAACCUCUUGUCUCAUUCCCUCACUAUGUCAGAUGCAUGAUAUGAAGAUUUUUCCAAUUAAAAAAUCCCAAAACACGUUUUCACAUUGUGGAAAACUUGGAAAAUGACAAAUAGGCAAAAUGGAGGAAAAAACUCAUUAUCUUUAUACCCUAAAACAAAGAUGUUUAAGAUUUUAUCACUAUUCCUCUAAUCUUCCAUGUGUAAAUUAUAUCUGAGACACGUUCCCAAGACAUUGACAGCCUUUUAUAAUCAUUUAAUCACAGAUGCAUGUAACAUUCUUUACUAAAUAUUCUUCCCC
Molecule: long non-coding RNA, 1956 nt
Filed under: Equus caballus (horse)
Lineage: Eukaryota; Metazoa; Chordata; Mammalia; Perissodactyla; Equidae
Description: lncRNA (ENSECAG00000050567.1)
Source: RNAcentral